Molecule: ribosomal RNA, 467 nt
Filed under: uncultured bacterium
Lineage: Bacteria
Description: partial 16S ribosomal RNA
Rfam family: Bacterial small subunit ribosomal RNA
Source: RNAcentral
GAUGAACGCUGGCGGCGUGCCUAACACAUGCAAGUCGAACGGAAAGGCCUCUUUCGUGGGGUACUCGAGUGGCGAACGGGUGAGUAACACGCGAGUAACUUGCCCUUGUCUUUGGGUUAACUUCAGGCAACUGGGGCUAAUACCGGACAGGUGCUCCUUCUGCCUGGUGGGGGUUGGAAAGUUUCGGCGGUUGGGGAUGGCUUCGCGGGUUAUCAGCUUGUUGGUGGAGUAGUGGCUUACCAACGCCUUGGCGGGUAGCCGGCCAGAGAGGGUGACAGGCCACAUUGAGACUGAGGUGCGGCACAGACACCUACGGGAGGGAAAAGUGGGGAAUAUUGAACAAUAGGUGGAGGGCUGGUGCAGAAACGCCGUGUACAGGAUGACGGGCUUCGGGUUGUAAACCACUUUCGCACAUAACGAAGCUUUGUGUGACGGUAGUGGGUAAAGAAGCACCGGCUAACUACGUG